Long non-coding RNA from Oreochromis aureus, 478 nucleotides. RefSeq lists it as uncharacterized. Lineage: Eukaryota; Metazoa; Chordata; Actinopteri; Cichliformes; Cichlidae. The transcript is spliced from 4 exons. The record is from RefSeq and is a predicted model, not a curated record.
GGUUAAUUAUUGAUCAAACAAUAUCACACAAGGUGCAGCAGCUGACCUUUGACCUGUGAGCUUCAGACUCUUUGCUGGUGUGAAGUGUUUAAUGUGACUUCAGCCUGCAGACACAGAGGACUGAUGAAGCAGAAGAUUGUCUCUGUUUCUACACAGACCUGGUCCAGACAGCAGAGCUGCAGAGUGAAGACGUUCAUGGGAAGAAGCUGAACUAACUCCACCCUGACAUCAAGAAGAUGGAGGAAGAGGAUGGAGCAGGAUCUGCAGCAUCCAGCUGUGUGUCUGUGAGGAGUGACCGGUCCAAAGAAAAACCUCCAAAGUUCAGUAAUGAACCUGCAGCAACAAUAGCUUCUGCACAGUGUGGAGAAAGAUCCAGAAGCAGAGCUGGACUGCAGACAGCCAGUCAGAGCAGCUGUGUACAAACAGAUGUUGGUCUGCAGGAGGUUUUAGAUGAACAUAAGAUCAGUCUGAGGAGGAG